AGUUGCAUUUUGUCUUGAAUUUGCACUUAGCCUUCGCUCUAUGAGCUUCAUUAGGUCUUAAAACAAUCUAAACCCUAUUUUCCACUGCAUACCUCCCUAAAGCUUUUCUAAAUUCCUUAGGACCAUUAAAAAUCAUACUAAGUUCAAAAACAACAACAACACAAUCAUGAUCAAAUCUGACUUUAUUACUUCUUCUUCUUCUUGAAAAAUCAACACCAACAACAACAUCCUCAUCUAACAAAUCAGUGCUAUCAAUACUACACAGUCUGAACUAUCAAUAUACUCUUCAUCACCUCGUAAUCCCCACAUAUCUAUCUUUCUUAUUCCUGCCAAUGUCUUGAAAACCUUUAUUAAUACCAGCUUCACCUACUGAUAUUUCUUCUCUUUCUUUAGAUUUUUUUCUUUGAAUUUUUUUCUUCUACUUUCAUCCCUAAAGGCUCUCAACUCUUCAUCAAUGUCUGAAUCAUCCUCAUCAAGGAUAUCAUCACCAUUCAUAUCCGAUUCACUAUUGGGA
RNAcentral lists this long non-coding RNA (514 nucleotides) under Capsicum annuum. RNAcentral's name for it is "long non-coding RNA (CANN_LNC010611)". The record is from RNAcentral. Lineage: Eukaryota; Viridiplantae; Streptophyta; Magnoliopsida; Solanales; Solanaceae.